GGGGGUGGGCGUCCGGACUGGCGCGGAGACCCGCCGCCGCCGGGCCGGGGCAGAGCGCCCCGCAGCCAAGACGGGGGGUCCCGGGAGUGUGGGCCCCGCGGUCCUCUCCGCCCCGCUCUCUACCCCGGUGUCUGCCCCGCCUCCGGCCCGGGGCGUGCUGGCGCCGCCCUCCCCACCAGCUCCACGUCCGAGGCCUCCCCUUUCCCCAGACCUCACUCCCGGUGGGGCUCCCGGUGGGGCCCCCGGCAGCCAGGCCCUGCUCGGCCUCUUUCCCCUACCCCACUGGACGACCCGCCGGGGCCCCUCCGACAGUCCCUGCCUUCUGCUCCCCCUUUCCAAGAAGAGCCCCUAUGUCCGCGAGACUAGAAGGUAACCUGAUCCCUUCCAUGUCUACCCGGGAAAUGCAGGGAUUUCUCCACCAUUCCAGAACCAGCCUCGUGGCCGGAAGCCAGGCUGGCCUCGUUUUAGGUCAGGCCCGGCCCAGCUGCGUAGCUGGGGCCCCUCUCCAGACAGAGAGGACCCCAGAAAAGGGGUAACUUGCGAGGGAACUUCAGACGGAGGGCCCCAAGUGAGUCCUGGGCCCCACUCCGUGCCUGGAGUACCACGUGCCCCUGCCUUUGCUCUGGCCCCUCCAGACCCCUUUGUCGUGGAGGAGCGCCCAAAUGAACUUUGUGAAAUGUAAAUCACAUUGCACUCCCCGACUCCAACCUUCCCAGGCUUUCCAUCAUGCCCUCCUGACCUACGAGUAGAGUGACCACAUAAGGCACCAUCCAGAACUGGUCACUUUAGAAAAUGAAAGUGUGCACCCCUCCACCCAACAGCAAGCAUAAACCCGCAAAGUCCCUGGCAACAGGGCUUUGGGGUCACCCUAGCUAUAGAGGGUCCUCCAGGUUGGGCCUCCCUGCAGCCACUCUCUCAGGCUUCUACUCUACACAAGCUUCUUGCUAUUCCUUGAUUUCAGAGGAGCAAGGCUGGGUGUGGGACAAGGGGGGCCGGGUAGAAAGUCUUGGGAUCUCCACCCACCUUAUGCCUCAGGCACAAGCUGAUGCCUUAGGACUUCAGGGGGAUGGGCAGGCCUGGGCUGAAAGUGGAGGUAUCUACACUUUCCCGUUCCCUGUGUGGGGGGUGCCCCUGAGCUGUCAUUCUGGUGCAGCCCUGGAGGGGGACAGGGCCCCAAUGCUGGCUGAGCUUGAAGUUUAAACAACAGUAUACAUCCUUCACACCGGUGUUUGUGGUCACAGAACAUGCUUUUCUAUAAACAGGGCAUAGAGCAUCCUUAACCUAUAAUAUGAAUCAUACAUGGAACACAACAGACAACUUGACUUCUAAAUAGAGACAUCUCAUGAGACAUUCUCUGACUGCAAAGUAACAAAAAUAAAAACGCCUUUUUUAAAAAGGAUAACUGCGAAUAUUCCCUGGAGGGAUGAAAGUUCCAGCCAGACUUCAACAACGUCCCACAGAUAGCUUUUGAGAGAAAAGAGGCAACUCACCGCUAAAAAGUCGCAAAACACAAGAGGGAAAAAACCACUCUGAGUGAGAGCCGUUGGAAUCACAGACAAUAAAACCAUGUCCCGAAAACUGCAGACAUUGGCAUUAUCAGACAUAUAAUAAUUAUGUUUCAUGUGUUUAAAGAAAUAAAGAAGCUUAACAUUUGGAGCAAGGAACAAGAGACUAUAAAGUAUGGCCAUGUAAUUUGAAAGAGUUUCUCCAAAAGAAAAAAAAAAACCUUCUGAAGAUAGAAAAUAUGAUAAUUUACUAUUUUAACAUAAAACAUCCAUUGAUAGGUUAAACAGUAAACUAAACGUGACAGAAAAGAGACAUAACAACAACAUUGUGAGUUGUGGGGAAUCUGGCCUGGUUUUCAUCAUCAAUGCCCUGUGCCUGCAGGAGAUGUGGGGGGCUCCAGUGUCGCCUGGAAGUGUCAGACUUCCACGGAGUAUCUUAAAUUAAGAGUUGGCUAACUUGAGCCUAUCAUUAGUAUUUUGGGGGGCUUUCAAAGCCAUUAACAAAAGUCAGCUCUCCCACCCCUAGCACGGGAACCGAUGCUUCCACCCAGACCAGAUCCUAACUGGCCCCCUGGUGAGUCACCGUGCCACCCGCAAGGCUUGCCACCAGCUCACUCACCGCCAGCAGUAAGGUCCUUGCAAAGGGUCUGAAGGGCGUGUGAUCGAUCUUAGAAUCCUGCUCUGAAGCUCUGAAGCUCGGCUUCCUAGGGUCUCUUCUCUUAAUUCAGGUUCUCUCCAAAAGCAGGAUCUAUGACGUGGGACAUGGUCUUGUGGGCAAAUGGUUUAGUUUUGGAAGUGAUCUUGGAGAUCAGGAACAGGGACCCUGGAAGGGAGAAACGGGGAAGCGGGGAAAUCCAAGCCAGAGUGCAUCUUGGUCCUAGCACUGCUGCAGGAGGAGUACUCUAAGGAACGGUGUGCGGCUGGCCUCAGCGCCGUCCAGCGGUGCAUGGUAGUGAGGGGCGCAUGCCUGCUCCGUGCACCGGUGCACGUCAGUGGGCCUGCUGACACCCACUCCUCUGCGCUCCAGGGCUGUCUGCAAACUCUUGUCUGUCUUCCAGGAGUGUACGUGUGCCAGCUAGGUUGAACUCCAGAAGCAUCGCAAGCAGCGGCCGUGGAGAGCCUGGGAUAGAGAGCAGGGAGUGCACAGUGCAGCUGAGGCCAGGCGUGGCCAGGCUCUACCUGCGUGGCCAGCUGGCUUCCGUAGCCAUGACAGCAACCCGGUGGACCCAGAGCAUGCGAGAAGAGGGCUUAAAUGAUGGCUGACUCCACUCUAAUGCUAGACUCCAAAAACAUCGAUCUGGAACCACAGAGGUAACAGCUGGUAUCACUCUGCAUUUCUGGCGAAGAGAAAUGCCCUUACAACACACCAAUCAUAUGAUGUGUAUCCUUCACCGGGGUAAUUUGGACACAGAGAUACACAGGGAGAAUGCCACGUGAAGAUGAAGUCAGAGAUCGGGCUGGUGUUUCUACAAGCCAAAGAAUGCCAAAGAUGUUGGCAAAUCACUAAAGCUAAGGGCGAGGGGCGUAGAACAGGUUCUCUGUCACAGCCCACGGAAGGACCCACGUCUGCUGACACCUUGAUCUAGGACUUCUGGCCUCCAGAACUGUGACACAGUCGAUUCCUGGCUACACCCUCUCGUCUGUGGGACUCUGUCAAAUCAGCCCUAGGAAGCGACCCCAGUGCCAUCUACCAGAAACCCAUCCCUUACUGUCCUGCUGCCUUGCUUGGUCCACAGACUGGGGGCGCUUAAACGAACCACAUUUAUCUCUCUGUUCUGGCGGCUGGGAAGCCCAAGGUCAAGGCGCUGGCAGAUUCAGUGUUUGGUGAGGGUCCUCACAGGGCAGAAGGGGCAAGGGAGGGGCGCCUGGGUGGCUCAGUCGUUAAGCGUCUGCCUUCGGCGCAGGUCAUGAUCCCAGGGUCCUGGGAUCGAGCCUCACAUUGGACU
Long non-coding RNA from Zalophus californianus (California sea lion), 3451 nucleotides. RefSeq lists it as uncharacterized. The transcript is spliced from 3 exons. Lineage: Eukaryota; Metazoa; Chordata; Mammalia; Carnivora; Otariidae. The record is from RefSeq and is a predicted model, not a curated record.